GAGCACAGAGACACCACACAAGAGUUCUUUGGAAAAAAAACUUAAUAAGUACGGGAGUUAAAUAAAACACUCAGCUGUUGUCUAUAGUGGUGCAACGUAGGAGGAGUCCAGUGCCACUUUGAACUAGAAAAAACAAGUGCUGAAACGGUGGCAACGGACAAGCCUUUUGACCGCGCUGGGAUUGAGCUGUGACAUCACAUUCUUGCAGUGUGUAUGCUGCAAAUCGGUCAGGUCUUUUGAUGUAUGGUCAAGAUCCGUGGAGAAGAAUUUGUUAGAUGGCGAGCCAACCCAAUUGAGCCGUGGAACUAGAGUCUACAUACACCAUUGCAAAGAGCAGAUGGACUAUCUGCUGUGGUAGGACUGUACCAAGUAAUCUGCAUGGACAUUUGUAGAACUUGAACUCAGAAACAGGAUUAAGGAGUGCACUCCAUUAGACAGACUCGAUCACCCAUAAAAGGAAACAAAGCCCUAAAGGGAGCAAAGACAUUGGGGAAUUUAAAGGUGCCUUUUGGUUUAAUUUUAUUUGUAUGCCAAUAUCUGUUAUUACCUGUUAUGUCAACAAGUUUUCUACUAAAGUACAGUUCAUAUUUGCAACUCUUUCGUGUUUGUGUUUUUAUUGUGGCUGUUUGAGUUAAUUAAGUCGGGCUCUGUUCGGACCUAACUUAAUAAUAUAUUUGAUAAAUCAA
Long non-coding RNA from Fundulus heteroclitus (mummichog), 686 nucleotides. RefSeq lists it as uncharacterized. NCBI's taxonomy places the organism in Eukaryota, Metazoa, Chordata, Actinopteri, Cyprinodontiformes, Fundulidae. The record is from RefSeq and is a predicted model, not a curated record. The transcript is spliced from 3 exons.